Molecule: non-coding RNA, 75 nt
Filed under: Palpitomonas bilix
Lineage: Eukaryota
Source: RNAcentral
UUGAGGGCGAAGCUCAAUCAGAAGGAGGAAGUAUUGAGUCGCUAUCAAGAGGAGAUUGCGAAGAGGACAGAAGUA